RNAcentral lists this ribosomal RNA (447 nucleotides) under uncultured bacterium. Its description in RNAcentral is "bacterial SSU rRNA". It matches the Rfam family "Bacterial small subunit ribosomal RNA", at positions 331 to 793 of the family's 1533-position model. The record is from RNAcentral.
CCAGACUCCUACGGGAGGCAGCAGUGGGGAAUAUUGCACAAUGGGGGAAACCCUGAUGCAGCGACGCCGCGUGAGUGAAGAAGUAUUUCGGUAUGUAAAGCUCUAUCAGCAGGGAAGAAAAUGACGGUACCUGAUUAAGAAGCCCCGGCUAACUACGUGCCAGCAGCCGCGGUAAUACGUAGGGGGCAAGCGUUAUCCGGAUUUACUGGGUGUAAAGGGAGCGUAGACGGUGAUGCAAGUCAGAAGUGAAAGCCCGGGGCUCAACUCCGGGACUGCUUUGGAAACUGUGCAGCUAGAGUGCAGGAGAGGUAAGUGGAAUUCCUAGUGUAGCGGUGAAAUGCGUAGAUAUUAGGAGGAACACCAGUGGCGAAGGCGGCUUACUGGACGGUAACUGACGUUGAGGCUCGAAAGCGUGGGGAGCAAACAGGAUUAGAUACCCCGGUAAAG